GACUGGAUAGUGUAGUUGGUUAUCAUGUAUCGUUAACACCGAUAAAGUCCUGGGAUCCAGCCCCAGUCUGGUCA
RNAcentral lists this transfer RNA (74 nucleotides) under Penicillium oxalicum. Its description in RNAcentral is "tRNA-Val". Lineage: Eukaryota; Fungi; Ascomycota; Eurotiomycetes; Eurotiales; Aspergillaceae. The record is from RNAcentral. RNAcentral also lists the same sequence under 2 other names.